This 635-nucleotide ribosomal RNA is filed under the name uncultured bacterium. RNAcentral's name for it is "bacterial SSU rRNA". The stretch from base 1 to 539 matches the Rfam family "Bacterial small subunit ribosomal RNA", at positions 338 to 873 of the family's 1533-position model. The record is from RNAcentral.
CCUACGGGAGGCAGCAGUGAGGAAUAUUGGACAAUGGUCGAAAGACUGAUCCAGCCAUGCCGCGUGCAGGAAGACGGCCCUAUGGGUUGUAAACUGCUUUUGUUUGGGAAGAAACCUUUCUACGUGUAGAAAGCUGACGGUACCAUACGAAUAAGCACCGGCUAACUCCGUGCCAGCAGCCGCGGUAAUACGGAGGGUGCAAGCGUUAUCCGGAUUUAUUGGGUUUAAAGGGUCCGUAGGCGGACUUAUAAGUCAGUGGUGAAAUCCUGCAGCUCAACUGUAGAACUGCCAUUGAUACUGUAAGUCUUGAAUUCGGUUGAAGUGGGCGGAAUAUGGCAUGUAGCGGUGAAAUGCUUAGAUAUGCCAUAGAACACCGAUUGCGUAGGCAGCUCACUAAGCCUGGAUUGACGCUGAGGGACGAAAGCGUGGGUAGCGAACAGGAUUAGAUACCCUGGUAGUCCACGCCGUAAACGAUGAUUACUCGACAUUAGCGAUACACGGUUAGUGUNAUAAGACGAAGACAUUAAGUUAAUACCACCGUCGGGAGGUACGUUACGUCGAAGAAGUAGAAACGUUAAAAGUAAAGUUAGUACGGACGUGAGACGUAGACCGACGGACGACGACGAGGGAGGAGG